RNAcentral lists this ribosomal RNA (831 nucleotides) under Rhodococcus sp. (in: high G+C Gram-positive bacteria). RNAcentral describes it as "bacterial SSU rRNA". Lineage: Bacteria; Bacillati; Actinomycetota; Actinomycetes; Mycobacteriales; Nocardiaceae. The record is from RNAcentral.
GUGAGUAACACGUGGGUGAUCUGCCCUGCACUCUGGGAUAAGCCUGGGAAACUGGGUCUAAUACCGGAUAUGAGCUCUUGUCGCAUGGCGGGGGUUGGAAAGGUUUACUGGUGCAGGAUGGGCCCGCGGCCUAUCAGCUUGUUGGUGGGGUAAUGGCCUACCAAGGCGACGACGGGUAGCCGGCCUGAGAGGGCGACCGGCCACACUGGGACUGAGACACGGCCCAGACUCCUACGGGAGGCAGCAGUGGGGAAUAUUGCACAAUGGGCGAAAGCCUGAUGCAGCGACGCCGCGUGAGGGAUGACGGCCUUCGGGUUGUAAACCUCUUUCAGCAGGGACGAAGCGAGAGUGACGGUACCUGCAGAAGAAGCACCGGCCAACUACGUGCCAGCAGCCGCGGUAAUACGUAGGGUGCGAGCGUUGUCCGGAAUUACUGGGCGUAAAGAGCUCGUAGGCGGUUUGUCGCGUCGUCCGUGAAAACUUGGGGCUCAACCCCAAGCUUGCGGGCGAUACGGGCAGACUUGAGUACUGCAGGGGAGACUGGAAUUCCUGGUGUAGCGGUGAAAUGCGCAGAUAUCAGGAGGAACACCGGUGGCGAAGGCGGGUCUCUGGGCAGUAACUGACGCUGAGGAGCGAAAGCGUGGGUAGCGAACAGGAUUAGAUACCCUGGUAGUCCACGCCGUAAACGGUGGGCGCUAGGUGUGGGUUUCCUUCCACGGGAUCCGUGCCGUAGCUAACGCAUUAAGCGCCCCGCCUGGGGAGUACGGCCGCAAGGCUAAAACUCAAAGGAAUUGACGGGGGGCCCGSCACAAGCGGCGGAGCAUGUGGAUU